GACGAACGCUGGCGGCGUGCUUAACACAUGCAAGUCGAACGGUGAAGCGCUUCUUUUUUUGGUGGGUGUGGUUGCGUGGCGAACGGGUGAGUAACACGUGCGUAACCUGCCCCCUUCUUCUGGAUAACCGCAUGAAAGCGUGGACAAUACGGGAUCUUCUGGGUCUGUCGCAUGAUGGGUCUGGGUCAGAUAUUGUUUCGGUGGGGGAUGCGCUGGCGGCCUGUCAGCUUGUUGGUGCGUUGAUGGCCUAUCACGGCGGUGGCGUGUCGCCGGCCUGCGAGGGUAGACGGUCACACUGGGAGUGAGGCACGACUCGGACUCCUACGGGGGGCAGCAGUGGGCGGUAGUGCGCAGUGGGGACAAGCCUGAUGCAGCGGCGCCGCGUGAGGAGUGAAGGCCUUCGGGUUAUGAACCUCUUUCGCCAGUGAAGCAGUCCUGCCUGGUUUGUAGGGGGAUUGACGGUAGCUGGAUAAGAAGCGCCGGCUAACUACGUG
This 494-nucleotide ribosomal RNA is filed under the name uncultured bacterium. Its description in RNAcentral is "partial 16S ribosomal RNA". It matches the Rfam family "Bacterial small subunit ribosomal RNA", at positions 28 to 507 of the family's 1533-position model. The record is from RNAcentral.